CAUUAAAUCAGAAAUUAAAAUAUAUAAAUAUAGCAUGAACUACAUGUUGAUCAUAUCAACAUGUUUUCAUACCACAUCUAAUGUAUGUAUUAAACAAUAGAUCAGAUCUAUUACCUUGCAAGUUAGAUGCUCUAACCUCGCUGAUCCGGGCUUAAGGAUGAUGUUGCAAGCCACACACGCGUCCGGCCUCUAGGAGUCGUCCACACGAGCCCACGAAUCUCGAUCAGAAGUCCUGCUUCAGGAAAUCAGCACAGUAUGCUAGUACUGCGCUGAUCCUUCUUUGAUGGUUGAUCAGGUACCUCCUUCUUCUUGAUUUGGACUCUUCCAAAGAUGGAAAGUAGAAGGAGGAGUUUCAGAUCUGAGACACUCUCAGGAAA
This 377-nucleotide long non-coding RNA is filed under the name Elaeis guineensis (African oil palm). RNAcentral describes it as "long non-coding RNA (EGUI_LNC065809)". The record is from RNAcentral. Lineage: Eukaryota; Viridiplantae; Streptophyta; Magnoliopsida; Arecales; Arecaceae.